GCGAUGAGCUGAAUUGUGUAAGCCGGUUGACACUCCUUCGCGGAAAUGCACGAUGUGGCGUGCAGUCAAUCGCCUCAAUACGCAGAAAGACGCCUUCUAGGCGUCUUU
Molecule: small RNA, 108 nt
Filed under: Mesobacillus subterraneus
Lineage: Bacteria; Bacillati; Bacillota; Bacilli; Caryophanales; Bacillaceae
Description: Bacillus subterraneus BsrF
Rfam family: BsrF
Source: Rfam by way of RNAcentral